RNAcentral lists this non-coding RNA (46 nucleotides) under Trichobilharzia regenti. The record is from RNAcentral. Lineage: Eukaryota; Metazoa; Platyhelminthes; Trematoda; Strigeidida; Schistosomatidae.
GUACUGAUGAACAGUCCCAAAUUAGAACGAAACAGCUGUCCAGUAC